RNAcentral lists this ribosomal RNA (813 nucleotides) under Acinetobacter johnsonii. RNAcentral describes it as "bacterial SSU rRNA". It matches the Rfam family "Bacterial small subunit ribosomal RNA", at positions 60 to 867 of the family's 1533-position model. The record is from RNAcentral. Lineage: Bacteria; Pseudomonadati; Pseudomonadota; Gammaproteobacteria; Moraxellales; Moraxellaceae.
AGUCGAGCGGGGAAGGGUAGCUUGCUACCUGACCUAGCGGCGGACGGGUGAGUAAUGCUUAGGAAUCUGCCUAUUAGUGGGGGACAACAUUCCGAAAGGAAUGCUAAUACCGCAUACGCCCUACGGGGGAAAGCAGGGGAUCUUCGGACCUUGCGCUAAUAGAUGAGCCUAAGUCAGAUUAGCUAGUUGGUGGGGUAAAGGCCUACCAAGGCGACGAUCUGUAGCGGGUCUGAGAGGAUGAUCCGCCACACUGGGACUGAGACACGGCCCAGACUCCUACGGGAGGCAGCAGUGGGGAAUAUUGGACAAUGGGCGAAAGCCUGAUCCAGCCAUGCCGCGUGUGUGAAGAAGGCCUUUUGGUUGUAAAGCACUUUAAGCGAGGAGGAGGCUACUUGGAUUAAUACUCUAGGAUAGUGGACGUUACUCGCAGAAUAAGCACCGGCUAACUCUGUGCCAGCAGCCGCGGUAAUACAGAGGGUGCGAGCGUUAAUCGGAUUUACUGGGCGUAAAGCGUGCGUAGGCGGCUUUUUAAGUCGGAUGUGAAAUCCCUGAGCUUAACUUAGGAAUUGCAUUCGAUACUGGGAAGCUAGAGUAUGGGAGAGGAUGGUAGAAUUCCAGGUGUAGCGGUGAAAUGCGUAGAGAUCUGGAGGAAUACCGAUGGCGAAGGCAGCCAUCUGGCCUAAUACUGACGCUGAGGUACGAAAGCAUGGGGAGCAAACAGGAUUAGAUACCCUGGUAGUCCAUGCCGUAAACGAUGUCUACUAGCCGUUGGGGCCUUUGAGGCUUUAGUGGCGCAGCUAACGCGAUAAGUAG